Molecule: small RNA, 99 nt
Filed under: Salmonella enterica subsp. enterica serovar Enteritidis
Lineage: Bacteria; Pseudomonadati; Pseudomonadota; Gammaproteobacteria; Enterobacterales; Enterobacteriaceae
Description: partial RtT sRNA
Rfam family: RtT RNA
About the family: This family represents a bacterial cis-regulatory element known as RtT RNA. The exact function of RtT is unknown although it is thought that it may be involved in changing the cellular response in relation to amino acid starvation.
Source: RNAcentral
CCAUUUAGGUUCGAUUCGAGCGCAGCGAGAAAGCGUUGCCGCAGGCAACGACCCGAAGGGCGAAGCGCGCAGCGCUGAGUCAUCCUUCCCCCACCACCA